AUUUGUUUCUUUGAAUAUGAUUUUUCUGAUGGCAAUUUUGUGCAUUGGUUUUGCACCUUGCUUAUAAUACAGGUCUCUUCUUUUGUCUAUUACUGCUAUGUUGGAAUCUUUCCUAGUUCCUGUUAUACUUAAACACUGCCUUCCUUUAUUCAUCAAUUUUAAUCUUGAUUAGUAGCAUACUGCAUAAUGUUUCAAGUGCUGCUCUUCAUAUCCUUGAUGCGUAUAUUAUGCUCGGAUGUUUUAACUAUUGGGUAUGUAGAUCAUGUUAUAUUCUAUGUCUUGUCAUGCAGGUAUGAUUUCCCUUGGACUCCCA
RNAcentral lists this unclassified non-coding RNA (313 nucleotides) under Hevea brasiliensis (rubber tree). Lineage: Eukaryota; Viridiplantae; Streptophyta; Magnoliopsida; Malpighiales; Euphorbiaceae. The record is from RNAcentral.